Molecule: long non-coding RNA, 3214 nt
Filed under: Canis lupus familiaris (dog)
Lineage: Eukaryota; Metazoa; Chordata; Mammalia; Carnivora; Canidae
Description: lncRNA (ENSCAFG00000051238.1)
Source: RNAcentral
AAAAAGAUUUUAUUUAUUUACUCAUGAGAGACACAGAGAGAGAGAGAGGCAGAGACACAGGCAGAGGGAGAAGCAGGUUCCCUGCAGGCAGCCUGAUAUGGGACUCGAUUCUGGGACCUCAGGGUCACGCCCUGAGCAGAAGGCAGACGCUCAAACACUGAGCCACCCAGGUGCCCCCAUUACCCUGAAUUUAAAUGAUCAACUAUUGGGACUUUAGAGUAUGGGGUAAUGACAGCAAGCAAGAAUAUUACAGAAACAGCUGAACAGUUGCUCACAGAUGAGCUUUCUCUAUAUAGAACCUCUGUAGUCUCUUUCUGUCUGAUUCUGGACCCAAGGUCCCAUUUAUUUCCACUACCGCACACACUUACAUGGUGAGUAUGUAAGUCUUUUUUAGUCUGUUAGGACCACAGGGCACAAAAUCAUGCAACAAGCUAGGAUGUUACACAGGUAGCCUACAUUUAUCUUUAUGACUCUACUCCCAUACCAUGUCAGGAAUUCUAGGACUAUCAUCCAGUUGGCCUUUGGAGACACCCAUUUAACUUUAAUUCCUAUAAAUAGCUUCUUGGAUAAUUUGAAAGUAUUUCCCUGCAACUAUCACCGUUGCAAUAUCUCAAGUUUUCUCUGCCUUGGAAACUUUAAUAUUGCAUAAAUAGAGGAAGUCAAGAGAUUAGUCAAUGUAACAUUUUCAUUUCAUUUUAUGAACAACUGACUCACUCCACCCCCUGCUCAAAGCACACAGCAGUGAUAGGGAAGUCGUUUUAGAAGAAGAAUAGCACACCUUAAUAAAUCUCAUAAACUGAAUUAAAUAUUUCAUCAGACAGAUAUGGAAGAGAAAAACAAAGAGAUAAGUGGAUCUGAACCUGCAGAUAAGUAGGACUAUUACUUCAGAAUCGAGCAAGAGAUACUGGAAUUCUCCUGCCGAGAGAUGGCUUAUUAAUCAAUCAGCAGGAUGGUGGCAACACACUGAUAUUAAGAUGACUCAGGAAGGUUUAAUAAAGGGACUGAUUCCCAAAUAAUGUCAAGAUGUAACGUAAACAAUAGGUUUCUCUACCCCAGGGGAGAGCUGUUAUCUCACCCUAGACCCCAAGUAAUGAAGAGAUUAGUAGUUACCAGAACAAGAAAGGAAAGGGUCAUGCAAUGAAAAUUAGGUCAGUUCUGUUGAGAUAAAGAGCCAAUUUUUCUGCGGAACAUCUCUAGUCUCUUCUGAAAACUCAUGGAAGUAUUCUAAGCCAUAAAUACCUCUGCUUCCCACUUCGAAUACCACUCUGCUUCCCAUUCAUCUCUGGCUGGGGCUUCCCCUGGCCAUGAGGAUGAGCACUGAUAUUCUCUAUCCGGGUUAUAGUCUCCUUGAAUAAGACCAUAAUGGACACCAUGAGGUAGACAGAGAGGGGCCAACAGCAUAUCUACACAGAUGGGGGAUAAAAAUGUCUGGGCUUUUGACUCAAAACAAAAUCUGAAGUGACACACUCCCAAUCCAAGGAAAUAGCUGAAAAGCCCAUACUGAUCACCUCCUGGGGUCCUGGCUUAUUAUAUUAUAUUAAAAAAAAUGAUUACUUUUUAGAGAGGAAGAUGAACCAGUUAUAAGUCCAUAAUUCAGGAACAAACUGAUUAUUGAUGAGAUAUCAAAUCCAUAAUAUAUCUACUAUUACCACAAGAAAAAAUUCCCAGCUAGAUAGUAUAACCUGGUUCAACAACAGGAAGUCAGAAGAAGGCAACCACAAAUCUACCAGGUAAGGAAGAAGGGAUCUGAGAAGGAGAGGUGAAGGGAAACACACACACGCACAUGUGUACACACACAUAGAAGCAUUCAAGGGCAUCUAACAUUUUAAAAUCAAAAACUUAAAGAAAGACAACAAACAAGCAGUAGAAGAUGGGUUUACUCUAGAGGAAAUUUGAAUGCUAUAUACAAUGUUAUAAAAUAAGUAAAUUUAGAGUCCCCAGAGAAGUAAAGGACAGCAUAAGAAAACUCUGAAUUCUGUUCAAUAAUAAGGAAAUGUUAAAUUGUGGAAAAUAAAAAUAUAUGCAGUCACUUAAGAAACUCAAUAGAGAUAAAAUAUCUAACCAUCACAGUGAAAUUGAGAACUGGAUAACUAAGAUAGAGAAUAUCACCCAGAAUGCAAUACACACACAUUUUUUUUUAAAAAGAAAUAAAACCAUGAAAGAGCCAUUAAAAGACAUGAGAGUUAUGGUGACAGGCUGUACCAUAUGUCUUAAUAAAGUUCCAAAAGAAAAUAAAGGAAAUGACAAGGAAGCCUCUCUUAAGGAGGAAAAAAAUAAGCUUCUCCAGAAAUAUGAUGACAGAAGUAUGCUGAGAAGGUAAACUGAAGCAAAUCAACAACUGAACGUACCGGAUUGAUAAUAUAUAACAUUUAGAAUAAAAAGAAAAAAGUAAAACUAUCAGAUAGAAAAGGCAUACUUAUCUAAAAAGAAAUAGCAAAUAGGCUGACAACAGACGUCACAUGUGAUAUAACAAUGCCAGAAAAUCAUGCACUAAAAGCCUUAUCAUGCUGUACAAAACUCAAUGUUAAACUAGAUUUCUAACCCUGCUCAACUACCAUUCAGAAAUUAGUGGAAAAUGAAAACAUUUUAAUAUGAACAAAACAGAAUACUUUAAAAGCCAGAGACAAUCACUGGGAUAAGGAACAAAGGAUAUAAUUUAGAAGACAAGAGAAAGGAGAAAAAUGACUGGGCUUAGAGUUUAUUCAUAUUUGCACACAGAAAUGUAAUGUACUCAAAUAUAAAAAUAACAAAUUAUUUCCUAACGAAGUUGGAACUAACUUAAGAGAAAAAAAUUUUUUUUUUAAUUCUGAUUUUGUUUGUGGGUGUGUGUACGCGCAUGUGCAGGCCAAUGCUGAGUGCUUUCUCUGUCAUUUACUAAUAGGAUUCCAAUCAAUAAUAGAAUAUUCUUCACAAAAUUUUUGUGAAUGUUGAAUGAGGCAACUUACGCAUUUAAAACAGUUCCGACUACCAAAAGAAGCACUGGAUGAUAACUUAAAAUGAUUCUACAUAUUUUCUACUUGUUUAAGAAAAUUCCAUUUUCAUUGGAAACAUGGGAGAGAAUGCACCGUCCACUUUACUCAGUUACUUUAUUGUAUUUUCUCUCUCCUUGUUAAAAAUCAUGUCCAGUUCCAGGCACAAAUUCCCUGACACACGAAAUUAAACUUGGUAACUAAAGCAUCUAGAAGGAUCCCUCACAUAUGAUUUCAAGACAGUU